Molecule: long non-coding RNA, 280 nt
Filed under: Ananas comosus (pineapple)
Lineage: Eukaryota; Viridiplantae; Streptophyta; Magnoliopsida; Poales; Bromeliaceae
Description: long non-coding RNA (ACOM_LNC005752)
Source: RNAcentral
AAAUAUUACAGACAAUAAAUUUUGAUCCUAUAAAACGAAUGUUUUUUGUCAUAAAACGCUUACAUAAUAUAGUACACUACAAUAAAUCUUGCAUUUAAAGACACCUUAAACAAUAACUAGCGAUGCGUCAAAAAAUUUUUAUCAAUAUUCGAUAAAAAUAUGUUUAUUAGCGACGUUUAAUUAUAGUGUCGACACAUAUCAAAUAUUAAAGAUGUUAGAAUAGAACGUUGUCUAAAUAGUAUCGUCUAAAAUAUAAUUUGCUGCAGUGGUAGUAACUAUA